UACGUAGGGUGCGAGCGUUAAUCGGAAUUACUGGGCGUAAAGCGUGCGCAGGCGGCGCGUUAAGACAGGUGUGAAAGCCCCGAGCUUAACUUGGGAAUUGCGCUUGUGACUGGCGUGCUGGAGUGUGGCAGAGGGAGGUGGAAUUCCACGUGUAGCAGUGAAAUGCGUAGAGAUGUGGAGGAACACCGAUGGCGAAGGCAGCCUCCUGGGCCAGCACUGACGCUCAUGCACGAAAGCUAGGGGAGCAAACAGG
Molecule: ribosomal RNA, 253 nt
Filed under: uncultured bacterium
Lineage: Bacteria
Description: partial 16S ribosomal RNA
Rfam family: Bacterial small subunit ribosomal RNA
Source: RNAcentral